RNAcentral lists this ribosomal RNA (546 nucleotides) under uncultured bacterium. Its description in RNAcentral is "partial 16S ribosomal RNA". It matches the Rfam family "Bacterial small subunit ribosomal RNA", at positions 355 to 889 of the family's 1533-position model. The record is from RNAcentral.
UAGGGAAUCUUCCACAAUGGACGCAAGUCUGAUGGAGCAACGGCCGCGUGAGUGAAGAAGGUUUUCGGACCGUAAAGCUCUGUUGUUGGUGAAGAAGGGUAGAGGUAGUAACUGGCCUUUAUUUGACGGUAAUCAACCAGAAAGUCACGGCUAACUACGUGCCAGCAGCCGCGGUAAUACGUAGGUGGCAAGCGUUGUCCGGAUUUAUUGGGCGUAAAGCGAGCGCAGGCGGAAGAAUAAGUCUGAUGUGAAAGCCCUCGGCUUAACCGAGGAAUUGCAUCGGAAACUGUUUUUCUUGAGUGCAGAAGAGGAGAGUAGAACUCCAUGUGUAGCGGUGGAAUGCGUAGAUAUAUGGAAGAAUACCAGUGGCGAAGGCGGCUCUCUGGUCUGCAACUGACGCUGAGGCUCGAAAGCAUGGGUAGCGAACAGGAUUAGAUACCCUGGUAGUCCAUGCCGUAAAACGAUGAGUGCUAAGUGUUGGGAGGCUUCCGCCUCUCAGUGCUGCAGCUAACGCAUUAAGCACUCCGCCUGGGGGAGUACGACCGC